GCCGAAGUGGCGGAAUUGGCAGACGCGCUAGAUUCAGGGUCUAGUGGGACGUAGGUCCUGUGGGGGUUCAAAUCCCCCCUUCGGCACCA
This 89-nucleotide transfer RNA is filed under the name Deltaproteobacteria bacterium. Its description in RNAcentral is "tRNA-Leu". It matches the Rfam family "tRNA". From Rfam's summary of the family: Transfer RNA (tRNA) molecules are approximately 80 nucleotides in length. Their secondary structure includes four short double-helical elements and three loops (D, anti-codon, and T loops). Further hydrogen bonds mediate the characteristic L-shaped molecular structure. tRNAs have two regions of fundamental functional importance: the anti-codon, which is responsible for specific mRNA codon recognition, and the 3' end, to which the tRNAs corresponding amino acid is attached (by aminoacyl-tRNA synthetases). tRNAs cope with the degeneracy of the genetic code in two manners: having more than one tRNA (with a specific anti-codon) for a particular amino acid; and 'wobble' base-pairing, i.e. permitting non-standard base-pairing at the 3rd anti-codon position. The record is from RNAcentral. Lineage: Bacteria; Pseudomonadati; Myxococcota; Myxococcia.